UACUGCCUAUCAGAGGGGAAUAACAGUGAGAAAUCAUUGCUAAUACCGCAUAUGCCAUAAUUAUCGCAUGAUAGUAGUGGGAAAGAAGCAAUUCGCUGAUAGAUGAGCUUGCGUCUGAUUAGCUAGUUGGUGGGGUAAAGGCCUACCAAGGCGACGAUCAGUAGCCGGACUGAGAGGUUGGACGGCCACAUUGGGACUGAGAUACGGCCCAGACUCCUACGGAAGGCAGCAG
RNAcentral lists this ribosomal RNA (232 nucleotides) under uncultured bacterium. RNAcentral's name for it is "partial 16S ribosomal RNA". It matches the Rfam family "Bacterial small subunit ribosomal RNA", at positions 124 to 354 of the family's 1533-position model. The record is from RNAcentral.